CAUUGAAUAUUACGUCCUAAAUUGAUGUGUAUUAUAAUACUACAUACAUACAUUUUUUGAUCGGUUACUACAUACAUACAUAUACCGGGUGGGAGGUCACUUAGCAAUCUCAACCUUUGAUAUUGAUAUAUGCAAACAUAUAUAUGAGGGGCGAUGAGGGGCCCCAUAUUAGUUUUCGCCCCGGGCCCCCGAAAUCUCAGGACCGGCCCUGCAGGGCGGCCAGACCAGGUGGCAAAUGUGGUGCAUGAGUCAACCUCACAACGUACUAUGGUGUCUAGGAUGGGGGUGGUGUAACAUGACGCUUUCUAGAAGCAUGUUAUCGAACAUCUCCACAGAAUCCCGAGCUUGCCUAAUUCCCAAAUCAUGUUAUCAUAAGGAUGAUUACGGAGGACAACUCUCUGAAUUCCCAAAGCACUAAUCUUGUCCUAAUUGCUCAUAUAUUGAAUCACUUUUCGCUGCAAAUAUGUUUUCUAUGCGUUCCUUCUUACAACCAGGACAUUUACUUCCCAAAGAGUUGGUCAACUAAAAAGGACAAGGUGUUUGAGACUGCUUUUAUCUGCUCUGAAGUUUCCCCUUAAACACAACUUUUCAGGAUCCAUAUGAGCUUGGUUACGCACUAAAUUAUUCUGGAGGAUCUCAGGUAAUCAUUGCAGUUGAAGAUUACGCCCCUGGUCAUGAUUCUCAUUUUCAAACUUGCCAUUCAUCAUAGGUGAUUUCCCUUGCCCCUUCAUCAGUUAAUUCCUUUUGCUUGGCGGACUGAUUCACAACUUAAGUGGAUCCCUGAGGAAUUCUACAAUGGGUGUUUUUCUUAUGUAUGUAGGUUUUGGAUGGAGUGUAUUCAUGCAUUAUAUUGGAGCAGGGACCUUCCGAGGAGGGGGAUACCAUGGGGAGGCGAACCUGGUAAAGUAGGGGUGGAAAGUAGACUAUAGGUAUGUUAUCCGUGGCAAGGACUUGGUGGAUUGUUUACCAUUUAGUUGUGUUCAACACCGAAAAAUGGUAAUAACAUUUUUUUGUCCUUUGCAAAUUAAAUUAUUAAUCCAUAACAUUAUUUUUAUAUAUGGGCUUCUAUUAGCGCAACUGGAUUGAUGUAGCGGAGAAUUACCUUCAAAAUGAUUAAACGAAUGCGAAGAUUGGCCUUCUUGAAUUUUGACCACGUCUAAUAACACUUCUGAAUUAUGUCUAAUCUCCAUGUAGUUUGGUCCGGUUAUUUCAUCAACUAGCCCACUACUAUGUGCUGGAAGUUAUAUUGUUACUUAAUACAGGCUACGCAUUCUAAACAUCUUUCUGACUGUUGUCAGAUUGAUUUAUCCAAUGGAACCUCACAUUAAUAAUAAAUUCCUUACAAUAACAAUGUGCUUUAUUUGAAAAUGGUUGAAUAUAAUUACCAAAGUUUGAUGGACGUUCUAUGGCAUGCCAGUCAUUCAUAUGGAGAGCGCAAAUGCAAAUGUUCAUAUUGUAUUGACGAUGCUCCCUUUUGAAAUUAACAUGAUUUGUCAAUUUAUUUUCGACAUGAUGUAUUAUCUUAUUACUUUUUAGCCUAUAGGUUUUAUAUGAGUGAAAAUUAAAUAUGACAGUUCUCAGUCUGGUCUUGCCAACCCCUCCAUGUCAACCAGGGGAGUAAGCAGGUCGUUUUUUCGGGGAGGGUGAGGCACAACCUUGUGAAGGAGUGGAGAAGACAGUGUGCUCUGGUCCUCCUCCAAGCCCGCCAGCGACUUAUCAUUUGUUGCUCUUCCCUUACAAGAUCCUUGAGGUCAUGUGUGAUAACUAGCGACACGUGGUGGAGCUUCUGCGGUAGGGCAACGCCGACGACAACAUCACCUGCAUCAAACUCUCCCUGGUCGCCUUCGAGAGUGUGUGCACCCGACCUACAAGCUUGUUAUGAUGCCCUUUGAAUUUCCGAGCAAGUUGCAACCUUUCCAGAUUUAUCAACACUGGUCACAUUAGUAGUCAAUAUGGUUCAGAUGCAUAAUAGUACGUACUUCGUUUCCUUUUUGUUGCAUACAUG
Molecule: long non-coding RNA, 2005 nt
Organism: Triticum aestivum (bread wheat)
Lineage: Eukaryota; Viridiplantae; Streptophyta; Magnoliopsida; Poales; Poaceae
Exons: 4
Source: RefSeq, a predicted model, not a curated record